Molecule: long non-coding RNA, 2955 nt
Organism: Equus caballus (horse)
Lineage: Eukaryota; Metazoa; Chordata; Mammalia; Perissodactyla; Equidae
Source: Ensembl
GUUGAAAGUAGGACGAAUAAAGAGAGUCCCCCACUCAUCAAUUCAGCUGAGGAAGCUCUGAGGAGCUGCAGUUCGUUCUAGGGAGUCUGGGCUGUCUUUCCACGCGGGUCCUUACUGGGACUGGAAGCUGCUGUGUGGAGUUUGGGGCUCCGGAAUCUUCCCUCCUAUGUGUUCAAGGCAGGACACGCGCUGGUUUUCUGAAGUGUUGGCAUUUCCUCGGAGACAACUAUUGUCGCAGAUACUCGACCACUCUCCCUGCCAGCGCCUUGCUCCACUGUGGGACAGCCGGAGUGUUUCUUCUAGAAUGUAUGCCACAGUCCAUCAUCCCUCUGACCAUCGCCCUCCAGGGGCUUCAGUCCUCGCCAAGACUUCUAAGACCCUCUCGCUCGCUGGCUGCCUCCGCUGGUGGGAGCCGCCCCGCUUUGAUGCCUUCGCUGCUGGAAGCUCAGCGGCCUGUGUGACAUCACUCUGGGCACCUCCUCCUCCUGUCGCCUGGCCUGAGUCUCCCUGUGCUCCCCAAACCUCCGGCGCCUUCCCAUGAAGCUGGGCCCUCUGGGACCCUGCCAUCAAGGCCCCAGGGACAUCAGCGCUUUCUGCAGGAUGUCGGGGCAAUAAGCAGUAAGGCUCUUCGGCACUCGCUCUGCUCUGUGAAGAGAGGAUACAGCAGAAACAAUGCCUCCCCUGAAGAAGACCCAUCUUCUCUACCUUUGGUAAGAAACAUGUAAACAGGUGCCUCAAGUCAUCUGGGAAUAUUAUCGACAAUGUAAUUCUUGGAGUAAAAUUUGAAACUUACGUAUGACUUUCCCUGUAACCUCCAAAAUCUUUUCAAUGGUGGAAGCAGAAUGUCUUCCUUAUUUCCACUACGAAAUAACAACAAAAAACCCUGACAAUUAUUCCUGAAAUAUGUGCUUUGUUUAAACACAAGGUGUACAGUGAACACAGUUUUAUCAGCGCUCUUGGACAAGAUUCCAAUAUGCUGUUUCUGCAAGGAAAAAUAAGCCCACUUUACAACUAAUCUCUGGGACUUCGAUAGCUAAAUAAUCAUGGAAUCGGCAUUCAGGUCUUUGGGCACCCACUUCCCAUGCACUUCCUUGAGGCUAUAGUCUCGGUAAUUGAAUUGAGAGAUGAAAAACGUGAACCCAACCUCGACAGAUCAAGCUGACCUGAAACAGUAUGCAUGGCAAUAUCAUUAUAUUCGAGGGCCAAAGGAAACUUGUGUGCUGGUUGUUUUCCUCUAAACCUGACUGUUUUGAUGGAGUCAUUGCUGUAAAUCCUGUGUGUAAUAAAACACGGAGUUUUGGGGUUCUCUUCAGAACAGAGAUCAUAUAAGUUUCAAAGUCUAAAUUGGGCAGCUAAGUGAAAUCCUGUCUGUCAUCAGAUGAAUGUGGCAGUUGGAGUUCCAGCACUUACGGCCAACAACUUCAGAAAAAAGGGAGACAGAGAAUCCAGAGGCAAGCAGUCCAGACUGGAGUGGCAGCUUCACGGUGAUCAGGGGACCCAGACUCCUGCCAUGCUGCUCCACCCGCUUUGCAUAUCGCUCUAUAAUUUGCAUAUCGCUCUAUAAUCCAAGGUAAUUGCUCAAGUCCCAGCCGUUGCGUUUUCAUUGCAGGCAGCAGGCAGGAAGAAGUGGGGAAGAAGACGUACCUCUUCCCGGUUAGGGAGCCUCCCCUGGAGUCCCACACGAUGCUUUGCUUAAAUCUCAUCGGUUAGAACAAAGUCACAUGGUCAUAUCUAGUUGCAAAAUUGCCUGGGAAAAGGAAUCUUUUAGAAGAGUGGCCAUGUGCCAGCUGAAAGUGGUCAUUUAGGUGAGAUGGCCAGAAAUCUGCCAGAGAAAGGAAAAAACUGUACAGUUACUUCCAGAUCUUGUGAUUGUCUACGUGGAGAAGUGCAGAGGCCCCUGACACGCACCUUUAAAACUAGGAAGAGACUUCAUCAAGGUUGCUAUAUAAGCGAAAGACUAGUAGAAACAAAGAUAUCAUUCAUGAAGGCAAUUAAACUAUGAUACAUCUAGAAAUAACUAUAGAAAUAUAUAAUUUUAUGGAAAAUAAUAAUAUUGAAAGAUAAAAAGUAACCUAAAAACAGUGAUAUGACAUUCUCAUGAAUGACAAAAUUCACCAUUUUGAAGAAAUCCAUUCCCACUAAAUUUAUCUACAAAUUUGAAAUAAAUCCAAUAAAGGUCUCCACAGCAUGUUUCUUGGAAAUUGGCAGAUAUUUUAAAUUCAUUUUUGGGAGAAUCAAUGGCAAAGAAUAUCCACGAAAAUGCUGAAGAAGAAAUAGUGGGAUUUGCCUACCAAAUAGCAAGAUGUAUUAUGAUAUUAAAACUUUGUAUAAGUUACACAUUGAAUCACUGUUGGAGAGUAGCCCAGAAACAGCCUUUACAAGUAUUUAACCUUCGUCUAUGACACAGCUAACAUUACAGAUCAAUGAACAACUGAUGCUGGGGCAAAUGCUUAUUCAAAUGGAAAAACUAAGACUGUAUCUGUAUCUCACUGUGUGCACAAAACCAGCUGCAGAUGGAUUAAAAAUAUAAAAUGAAAGUCAAAUGCUAAAGUUUGAGAACAAAAUUUGGGAGGCUAUCUUUAGUGCCUGAAGACAUUGAAGGAUUUACUAAAUGACACACACAAAGCAUUAGCCAUGAAGAAAACAACUGACAAAUUGGACUACACUGAGGCUCUGAGUGAAAAAAAAUCAUGACAAAGUUAAAAGACAAACAGUAGACUAGAAGGCGGCACGUAGGAGGCACUUAAUUCAGAGGACAAGUUUCAUAACAAAGAACUGUGCAUCCGUAAGAAGACGGCUCUCAACCCAGUAGGAAAUGGAUUUGAAAAGCUGUAAACAGUUUGCCAAAGAGAAAACUCAAAAGGCUGAAUAAUCGUAUGAAAACAUCCUUUCUCUCACUAUAAUCAAAAAAAGGGCAAAUUAAAUAAAAAUGUGUUAGCAUUUCAAACCCACCCG